Molecule: long non-coding RNA, 1228 nt
Filed under: Mustela putorius furo (domestic ferret)
Lineage: Eukaryota; Metazoa; Chordata; Mammalia; Carnivora; Mustelidae
Description: lncRNA (ENSMPUG00000031188.1)
Source: RNAcentral
GAAUGAUAAGCCAAAGUCCUUGCAUUGUUAGAACUCAUGUUCUAGGCAGGAGAUGACUAAUAGAUAAAUAAAUCAUGUCAAAUAAUGAAACAAACAUAAUGCAGUGUCGAAUAAUGACACAUGGUAUAUUUAAUAAAAUCAAGUCAGUGGUAGAGGCAGUGUUUUUUAGAUUGGUUGGUCAAGGAUGUCCUCUGUGAGGAAGAGAUCUUUAAACAAACUUAAAUGAAGUGAAGGAAUGAGCCCUGUGUGAAUAUCUGGAAGAAACAUUUUCAAGGCAGAAGUUAAGUGUAAAGUCCUGAUGACAAGCUAGGUAGUUAGUGAGCAAGGGCUCACUGAGAGCAGAAAGAGAAUACGGGACAGAUUUAGCAGGGCCUUUGCUGAGAUGAGGAAUGAGAUGACCCUAAUGAUGUUUUUGAAGGACCAAUGUGACUUCUGUAUGGGGCAAAGGUGGAAGCCUCUAUUGAGUAGGCACUGUAAGUGGCUCAGGUAGGAGACAGUAGAGAAGUGCCUCCUAAUCUAUGGUUUCCCUUUCCCAGGUUUUCAGUUGCCUUUGCUUUUUUGUUUCCCACCGUAUACUGCAGGCCAGGAACAGAUGAUCCUCCUUCUGAAGUAUAGUCAGAAGACCAAUAGUAGCCUAAUGCUUCAUCACGAUGCCUAUGGCAUUUAUCUCACUUUAUCUCAUCAUGCAGGCCUUUUAUCACCUCACAUCCUCACAAGAAGAAGGCUAAUGAUGUCUUUCACACAUCAUUGCAUCUAUUCGUUGGAAACUGAACACACACGUAGUGGAGGAGCGGAAGGGAAUGUGGAAUUGCAUUUACACGUUCUGAUUGGCUAAGCCCAGCCGCUGAAAGAGCAACCGUCAGGCUCUUAAAGUGACUCCUUCAGCGUCCUUAGCAACCAGCCUCAUUCCCCAGCGACCUCGAGAACCUUGGUGAGUCCCACUCCGGAGGAUUUGAGGGGCUCAGGCGGUCACAUCCACCAUGGGGGCGGCCGGGAGCCCCACAAAGACCCACAAAUGAGUGUGCUGAGCCUUGUUCCAGGAUUCUAUAGCUCUGGCUGUUGGAAGGAGCUUCUAUUACUUGUGCCCCUCGCCCGGACCCACCACUCCCGCCCCUCGGAAGAAAUCUCCGCAAUCCAGUGGGAAACUCCCGCGAGGGUAGGGAGGGAGAAGGUGGGGGAAUCAGCCUCCAGUAAUUUCAUAAGGAAAUGGCUUUUUUUCCCUGGGGAU